This 2838-nucleotide unclassified non-coding RNA is filed under the name Pomacea canaliculata. Its description in RNAcentral is "protein ABHD15-like, transcript variant X2". The record is from RNAcentral. Lineage: Eukaryota; Metazoa; Mollusca; Gastropoda; Architaenioglossa; Ampullariidae.
GUCCCCAUCACCUUCACACUUAGCAGCAGCUUCCCUCGCUCUCUGUGACCCGACUACCGGAGUGCAGCUGUUGACGUGGCACGAGGAGUGUUUGUUGUACACCGUCUACUCUCCUCCCUCCUUCCAGCAAGUGUAGUCGCUACUGGCUACCACGUGCACACAGCGGCCCUCUCGGCCCUCAGUUGUGCGCAGCGCGUGCGAACCCUGGGCCCGGGGCUGGCGGCGCCACCAGCUGUGGGGCGGGCGGUGAUGUUGUCUGGCAGUUGCUUGGCUGCUGACUUGUCUACACACGCGGUCGUGGAUGUCGUCAGCAACAGUCGCUCUCGCCACUCGCCUCAUCAGCCCCCCCACCUGCCGCGGCCCCACCCCCACGUCCAGCUGUGCGCCCCAUCCCGCCCACGUGUAAGGAGGGGGGGAAGCAAUAAAUUGUGGCUUCACGUCCAGCCAGCCAACACUAGCCGAUCUCCGUCUCCAGGCGCUGAGCUGCGCCCGCCUGCACUCGACGCACCUUUCUCGGCCUGGUGUAUGUUUUGCUGUAGACUGCACGUGCGAGGAUGUUUGCAAGUCCGCACUGGGUGGGCUGCAGUAACUAAGUCGCCUCGCCACCCGACUGCCACGUAUGGUGUCGUCAGUCGCUGGAUUUUGUUUCACCUGUAGAGCUGCCGACUGUGAAAUUCCACGAAGACGGUUGUGGUGGUGCUACCUGCUGCACCUGUACCUGCAGCACCCUCUGUGAAUGGGGUCCACAGGUGUUCACAAUGAACGAGGCCGCCUGUCAGGUCCCAUGGUUGUGGGGGAGGAUGGAGCGAGCUGGUUGCGGGCGGCUGUGGCGCUGUGUGUGAUGUACUGGCUGCUGCUGUCCUACCCACUGACACUGGCUCUCACCUGCCUGGGCACGCUGCUCAUCACCGUCCUCAUCUACCUCAAGAGACUACUGCGGGCCCGCGAAUGUCCUGCGCGCCUCACCUGCCGGGACUCGGCGCUGGCCCGUCACGUGGGGGCCCACUGUCCCACCUUUCGCCACAUCCUGCGCCUGCCAGCCUGGGCCCGCAACUGUCACGUGCAGAGUUGUCUGGGACUGCUUGCCUGCCGCCAGGGGGCGCACUUUGCGCGCGAGUACCUACAGCUGCACGACGGAGGGCUGCUGGCCCUGGACUGGGCGGUGGGCAGUCAGUACGUCUCGCCUGCUCACCCGCUGCUGCUGCUGCUGCCGGACCUGACAGGAAGUGCCGUGCAGCUGUCGGCGCUGUGCUGCCAGGCCUUGACCUUGGGGAUGAGGGCAGUCGUGAUCAACAGACGCGGACAGGCGGGUAGCAUUGUCAGCACCCCAAAGCUACCUGGUUAUGGAGACACCUCUGACCUCCGUGAGGUCAUUGGGUACCUGCAACGCACCCACCAGAGAGCCGCCCUUUGCGCUGUCGGGGUGGGGACCGGGGGAGACGCGCUUCUGUCUUACCUGGGGCAGUUCGGCUCCUCCGCCAGGCUGUCGGCCGCCGUGUGCAUCUCCCCAUCAUACAACGCGGCUGACACGCUCCACGGCCUCCCCACACCCUACUUGCAGCUCUACCUGUCCCACCUGAAACAGGCGGUGCUCAGCAACGCCCAGGUGUUCGGGCCCCUGGUGCAGCGGGCGCGAGGCGCGUGGUCCGUGAAGGAGUUCGACCAGAAAGUGGUCAGCACGUGCGCCGGUUACAAUGACCUGGAGGACUUUUGGGAGGACAACGAACCGCUGCGGGAGGCCGACGAGGUCAGCGCCCCCGUGCUGUGCGUGUCCAGCCUCGACGACCCGGUGUGUCGCCCCCAGCACAUCCCCUACGACCUCUUCCGCGCGCUGCCCAACUUCUUCCUGCUGACUCUGCCCCACGGGGGCCACGCGGGCUUCCGACAGGGGCUGGGCGGCCUGUCCUGGGCCGAAGCCGCCGCCAUGGACUUUGUGCAGGCCAUGCUCAGCUUUCAGCCAUGCACGUGCUACGUGGCCAACGGCGUUCACGUAGCCACGCAGACCAACGACUUGCUGGACUGGACGCCGGACCCCCUGACCCUCGACCUAGUGACCUUAGAGCCUGAAGACACGAGUCGACUUCCUCGGACGCUGCCUGCGGAGUGGCACGGGUGACGUGCGUGCUGGUGACGUGAGGCUGUGUGACGUGACUGCUUUAGCAGCGUGCUGUGACCUGCCUGUGACCUCACACUAACUUGGAGGUAACGGAGGGGUGAGUACCUGGAUUAUUUGGGACUCCCCCCACCCUGAGUACGGUGCGCCAUACCCUGAGAGACCUUCACCUGUGACCCCGACGCCCACCACCUGGACAAGAGGAGGGACAGGAUGGACACGCAGGACCUGCCACAUAGACGGCAGUGGUCACGUGACGGGACGCCAGGACCUUGACUGUGAUGGCGACAAGCAAGUCAUUGACCUCUGUGUCACUGUCAUGUCACGAAGUUGUAUGUCAUAUGUUAAUUGGAGGUGUAGAGGAUGUUGACAGACGACUUCCUACUUCUGGGAGGAGCCUGCUGCCUCGCUCUGGUGGUCAAGGUCGUCAGAAAGGUCUUGAGGUCAAGGUCGUCAACAGCGAGAAGGACGAGACGAAUGAGAAAAGGUGUGACACUGUAGGGAGUCUGAGUGUGAGUGUCAGCUAGGAUGUACCAGCCAGUGGCUAUGUCAGCUAGGAUGUACUAGACAGUGUGUGGAUGUACUAGCUCUCUGCUCGCCAGGAUGUGUAGAGCCACUCGUGUGUCUGCUGCAGGAUACACAUUGUGUACAGACUAGUAUCUCGUGCAUCCCAAACAAUAAAUAACAACAUAAAUAAACUAUUAACAUCUUAUCACAAGUACAAC